AUGGUGGUCGGGCCACUGUUGUCCAUCGUGAAGGACAAGGUGUCCAACAGCCUCCUCGCUCAGUACAAGCAAGUGGCUUCCCAUAGAGAAGGGACGGCUGCCUGGCUCCAGGCCAUCAAGAAGGUGGCUUACCAGGCCAAUGAAGUCUUCGACGAGUUCAAGUACGAGGCGCUUCGUCGCAAGGCCAAAAAGGAGGGGCACUACAAGGAGCUUGGCUUUGAUGUGGUAAAACUCUUUCCCACCCACAACCGUUUUGUGUUCCGUAACAGGAUGGGAAGAAAGCUCCGCAAGAUUGUGCAGGACAUUGAGGUCCUUGUGACCGAAAUGAACGCCUUUGGCUUUAAGUAUCAGCAACAGCCGCCGGUAUCCAGUCAGUUGCGGCGGACGGAUCAUGCUAGCACUGACCCAGAGGAAAUCAAGAAAAUCAUCAUCGAAUCUAGAGCCAACGAUCAGAAGAAAAUUGUUGAUAUACUAGUUGGGCAAGCUAACAAUGCAGAUCUCACGGUUGUUCCCAUCGUUGGAAUGGGCGGUCAGGGCAAGACCACGUUAGCACAACUUGUGUACAAUGACCCAAAAAUUCAGAAGUAUUUCGAUUUGCUGCUAUGGGUGUGUGUCUCUGACUGCUUUGAUGUGGAUUCUCUGGCAAAAAGUAUAGUUGAAGCAGCUCCUAAGAAGAAGAGUGAUAGGAAAGAAGCAGAUGCUUCCAUGAAAAAGAAAACACCACUGGAUAUCCUUCAGAAUGUGGUGAGUGGGCAACGGUACCUCCUUGUAUUGAAUGAUGUCUGGGCACGACAGGUUCAGAUUUGGACACAGCUCAAGGCCCGUCUUGAAUAUGGUGGCAUGGGUAGUGUGGUCUUGACAACUACUCGUGACGAACGAGUGGCUGGAAUAAUGCACACUAUUGAAGCUUACAAUCUCAAAGCUUUGGAUGAUAAAUUCAUAAAGAAAAUCAUCGAGACAACAACAUUCAGUCGUUUCAAGAAGGCAGAGAAAAGGCCCACCGAGUUGGUAGAUAUGGUUGAUGAGAUUGUGAAGAGAUGUGUUGGUUCUCCUUUAGCUGCAACAGAACUAGGCUCUGUACUGUGCACCAAGACCAGUAAGGAAGAAUGGGAGGCUAUAUCAAUCAGAAGCAGCAUUUGCACCGAGGAGACAGGAAUCUUAUCAAUACUCAAGCUCAGUUACAAUGACUUGCCGUCGCAUAUGAAGCAAUGCUUUGCUUUUUGUGCUGUAUUUCCCAAAGAUUACGAGAUUGAUGUGGACAAGCUGAUCCAACUAUGGAUUGCACAUGGUUUCAUACAGGAAAAGCAAGUUUGUCUUGAAACCAUUGGCAAACAAAUUUUCAGUGAGCUGGCAUCAAGGUCAUUCUUUCAAGAUGUGAAACAAGUCCAAGCCACAUCCAUAGAAAUUAGAUUCACCAAGGCAUAUUAUUCCAGAACUACUUGUAAAAUCCAUGACCUUAUGCAUGAUGUUGCACUAUCUAUAAUGGAAAAGGAAUGUGCCCAUGUAACUGAGGAACCUAGUCAGGGUGAGUGGCUUCCAAACACUGCUCGUCAUCUAUUUUUGUCAUGCAAGGAACCAGGAAGAAAAUUGAACGUUUCUCUCCAGAAAAGCUCUCCAGCUAUCCAAACUCUUCUGUGUGAUGGUCUUUUGCAAUGUUUGUUGCAGCAUUCAUCAAAAUACAGUUCUUUGCAAGCAUUACAGCUCAAUGUAUAUAUAAGAUCAUUUCCGCUGAAACCAAAGCAUCUACAUCAUCUGAGAUACCUAGAUCUCUCAAGAAGUUUUAUCAAAGAGCUUCCUGAAGAUAUGAGCAUUCUCUACAACCUUCAAACACUGAACCUCUCUGGCUGCAGUGCUCUUCUUGAACUUCCAAGACAAAUGAAGUAUAUGACUGCCCUCCGUCACCUUUACACUCAUGGUUGUGUACAGUUGAAGAGCAUGCCUAGAGACAUCAGAAACCUCACAUCCCUAUGCACACUUACAUGUUUUGUAGCAGGUAGUGGCUCCAAUUGCAGUAAUGUGGGAGAGCUCUGUCCUUUAAACCUUGGCGGUCUAUUAGAGCUAUAUUAUCUAGCAAAAGUGACAGAAGAAGAUGCAGAAGCGGCAAACCUCGUGAAUAAGCAGGACCUAAGAGAAUUGACUCUAGGAUGGACCCGUGGACAAUAUCAUUAUAAGGAAACUAGUUGUGCGGAUGAUGCAAGAGUCCUGGCCAAACUCAAACCUCAUGAUGGGCUGCAUGCUAUAAGCAUAUUGUCCUAUGGAGGAACAACCUUUCCAACAUGGAUGACUAUGUUGCAAAAUUUGAAGGAGCUCAGGCUGGAAAAUCUUGACUGUUUGGAGAGAUGGGGGGAAAUAGAUAAUGAUGAGAUGCAUAGUGAAAACAUAAUAAUCUUUCCUCGGCUUGAGAAGUUACUUAUUAUUGGCUGUACAAAGUUGACAGCAUUGCCAGGACGCCCGUCCUUCCCUGAGCUCCAGAACGCCUGUAUCAGAUAUUGUCCAGAUUUGAGAAUCACAGCUGAAUCACCAAAGCUCAGUGUAUUAAACGUGUACGGAAGUGAGGUAAAGUUGUUCCGGUGGUUAUCUAGACAUAUGACUUCAUUGACCAAUCUGGAACUGGAGAGCACUGCGUACAGAGCCACCCCGGAGGCUCAGUAUGGAUUGAGGGAAGUGUUGGAUGUCAAGGAAAAAUUGAAUGAUGAUGAUAUACCCCUGACAGUUUUGGUGUUAAAGAGCUUAAAAUCAAGUAUAACAGAGCUAUGUGCAUGUUUUGUACACCUUCAAGAUUUGUCAAUUAAUUUCUGUGAUGCACUCAUCCACUGGCCAGAAAGAGAGUUCCAAGGAUUAGUAUCCUUGAGGAAGCUUCAGAUUAGCUUCUGCAAUAAUCUGAUUGGAUAUGCACCAGAUUCUGCCGAGCCAUCAACAUCAUCAGAAACGAGUCAACUCCUGCCAAGUCUAGAGUCUCUGGUGAUAAAGGCAUGCCACAGGUUGGUUGAGGUCUUCAACGUACCUCCAUCUCUCAGGAGAAUGAAAAUUGAACAUUGUGAAAUGGUUGAGUCCCCAUUCGGCAGGAGGCUGCAGCAAGGACAGUCAGCAUUGUCCAUUCAUCAACAGUCAUCCAGUAUGCCUGAGGUGUCAUCAUCAUCGCCCGGAGCAGUGCCAGAGCAUUUAGAAGAACUAACACUAAUUAUGUGUUAUGGCUUAACAGGGGUCCUCCAUCUCCAUCCGUCCCUCAAGGAGCUAGUAAUUCGUCGCUGCGGUGGGUUGACAUCUCUGGAAUCCCGCUCGGGAGAGCUCCCAUCGCUGAAGCACCUCAGUCUUUCUGAAUGCCUUACGCUGUCAUCCCUACCGGAUGAGCCAGUAUCAUACUUACUUCUCGAAUAUCUUGGCAUUAGCUACUGCCCUGAUCUGAAGACGCUCCCUGCAAGCCUGCAAAAACUGCUGGGCAAAAUUGACAGGGAAUAUGUAGAUGCUCAUCAUUAUGGAAAUAAGCCUAUACUGCUGAAACCGAAGACAUGGAAAUAUGCCAUCCGCAGAGAUUAG
RNAcentral lists this ribosomal RNA (3537 nucleotides) under Triticum aestivum (bread wheat). Its description in RNAcentral is "partial small subunit ribosomal RNA". The record is from RNAcentral. Lineage: Eukaryota; Viridiplantae; Streptophyta; Magnoliopsida; Poales; Poaceae.